Hibiscus syriacus is the source of this 789-nucleotide long non-coding RNA. RefSeq lists it as uncharacterized. NCBI's taxonomy places the organism in Eukaryota, Viridiplantae, Streptophyta, Magnoliopsida, Malvales, Malvaceae. The transcript has 2 exons. The record is from RefSeq and is a predicted model, not a curated record.
AUGUCUAUGAAGUUCCUAGUGGAAAUUUACAAAGAUCUUUUCAAGGUCAAGGGUUUUCUCAACAAGCUUUCAAUCACUUUUAAGGUAAUCAUCCUUCGUUCAAUAGAGACAGUUAUGGUGCUAGAGGUCGAGGAACCCGUGGAUAUGGUGGUCGUUCUCGCAUUCAAUGUCAGAUUUGUGGCAAGUUGGGUGGCCUUGCAAAUAGGUGCUACUUCCAGUUCGAUCAAUCUUUUUAGGGUAGUGUUGUCCCUAAUCUGUCUCUGAACUAUUAAAUUAACGAAGAUGUGACUGGAGAACCGAUGGUUCAGUUCGAUGGGUCGGUUCAUGGUGAUUCAGAUUUCCAUGAUGUCAUUGUAAUUUCAAUUACCGAUGAGUUUAGUGUUUCUGGAUACGGUGAUAUAGCUCGGUACCCGGAUUCUGGAGCCACCACUCAUCUAACUCCUAUUGUAGGUUGCCUACUAAAGUUUUGCAAGACAUACACCGUUUGAAAAACUGUUUCACAACCACCUGACUAUCAAGGUUUUUGGUUGUCAGUGUUUCCCUUUCGUGAGGCCUUACAAUCAACAUAAGUUGUAGCUUAGAUCUAAAGCUUGUGUAUUUCUCGGCUAUAGCUCUAAUCAGCGUGGUUAUAAGUGUCUUGGGUUCGACGGUAAACUCUACAUCUCGAGAUAUGUGCCAUUUAAUGAAACUAUCUUUCCUUUUGUAAGCAAGUCACAAGAAUCUCCUGUUCAACUAGAGGAUGAUCAUGUUGCCUCCAAGUUUGUGUUUCCCAAGCUUGUUGUUGGUUCA